GACAACCUGCUUCUAAAUUGCUCAGCACACUCAGAGAUGCUGGGUUCAAGGCAGCUGAAGCUGCAUGCCCCUGUCUGAGGGGGAAUCCUUGGCCCCUGCCUUCUCAGGGCCCAGGUGGACCUUAUGUGAUUCAGGUCUGACUCUACCUGGCUCCCUGGUGUGGACUAGAGGACUCUGAAACUGACAUGCCUCUCCACAAUGCCCUGGUGAUAGCGACUGCCAUGGAGAAAGCCUGUGCCCACUGUCUCCACAAAUGCCAGGUUCAGCCACAGCCCAUUAAUAGUAAGGAAAUGAAGCCAGCAGCCACACAUUGUUUCUAUCCCCAAACCCACACUCUGUGUCAAACCCACAAUAGCUAUUGCUAUGCUAGGUCAGCUCUGCGGGACACCAGGAAUUUAACCAUCAUGUCUCCUGAAAGUCUUCAAUUAAUAUGUCUAAUUAUUACCAAGCACUACAUUGAAAUUAGUAGAAGAAAACAUGACCAGAGGUUGGAUUUUGUUUGACUAGGUUUAAACUACUUUGGCUUUUACAUAUGACUGAAAGCAAAUAAGCUAAAAUUUAGUAAGAUAUUUAGUAUACCUCUCCUAGUCAGCUGGUAGAAAACCAUUUGCGAAUUCAGUGUUUGCUGUUAGUAUUGGGACAGACUUCAUGGAAACCAGUGAUCGACCACACCAAAUUCUAUGGGAUGAAUGAUCACAUAUGAAAGGGAACACCAGUGUUGAAAAGACACAGAUUUUAUCCUUGCCAUGAUUUGGUAACAUGUUCAAACACAAAGAGAAGGCUCACAAGGAACACACCAAACAGCUAGGCUUAUUCCUCAUUCAUUCAACGGGCACCUUGGAACACCUACUCAGUAU
This 857-nucleotide long non-coding RNA is filed under the name Homo sapiens (human). RNAcentral's name for it is "non-protein coding lnc-GGTLC1-7:1". The record is from RNAcentral. Lineage: Eukaryota; Metazoa; Chordata; Mammalia; Primates; Hominidae.